Molecule: long non-coding RNA, 232 nt
Organism: Helianthus annuus (common sunflower)
Lineage: Eukaryota; Viridiplantae; Streptophyta; Magnoliopsida; Asterales; Asteraceae
Exons: 3
Source: RefSeq, a predicted model, not a curated record
GUGAAGAGCUUAUUUCAGACUCCUUCCCAUACAAGGAACUAUUGAAUGGGUUCCUAUGAGAAGUUGAAGAAAAGUUAUGGAUAAUGAAAACAAUGCUCCUUCGUUAUUAAAGUCGAUUGAGGACUAUGAUCCUAUAUUUUUCGAAUUGUUCGUCGACCAAAAACAGUUAUGGAUCAUGAAAACAACGCUCCUUCGUUGUUAAAGUUGAUUGAGAACUAUGAUCCUAUAUUUU